UAGGGAAUCUUCGGCAAUGGACGGAAGUCUGACCGAGCAACGCCGCGUGAGUGAAGAAGGUUUUCGGAUCGUAAAGCUCUGUUGUAAGAGAAGAACGAGUGUGAGAGUGGAAAGUUCACACUGUGACGGUAUCUUACCAGAAAGGGACGGCUAACUACGUGCCAGCAGCCGCGGUAAUACGUAGGUCCCGAGCGUUGUCCGGAUUUAUUGGGCGUAAAGCGAGCGCAGGCGGUUAGAUAAGUCUGAAGUUAAAGGCUGUAGCUUAACCAUAGUACGCUUUGGAAACUGUUUAACUUGAGUGCAAGAGGGGAGAGUGGAAUUCCAUGUGUAGCGGUGAAAUGCGUAGAUAUAUGGAGGAACACCGGUGGCGAAAGCGGCUCUCUGGCUUGUAACUGACGCUGAGGCUCGAAAGCGUGGGGAGCAAACAGGAUUAGAUACCCUGGUAGUCCACGCCGUAAACGAUGAGUGCUAGGUGUUAGACCCUUUCCGGGGUUUAGUGCCGCAGCUAACGCAUUAAGCACUCCGCCUGGGGAGUACGACCGCAAGGUUG
This 550-nucleotide ribosomal RNA is filed under the name uncultured bacterium. Its description in RNAcentral is "bacterial SSU rRNA". It matches the Rfam family "Bacterial small subunit ribosomal RNA", at positions 355 to 896 of the family's 1533-position model. The record is from RNAcentral.